CGCUUACACCGAAGAAAUAUCUGUUAAAUUCGGAUCAUUUUGAG
This 44-nucleotide transfer RNA is filed under the name Meristogenys kinabaluensis (Kiau Borneo frog). RNAcentral's name for it is "partial tRNA-Val". Lineage: Eukaryota; Metazoa; Chordata; Amphibia; Anura; Ranidae. The record is from RNAcentral.